Molecule: long non-coding RNA, 287 nt
Filed under: Elaeis guineensis (African oil palm)
Lineage: Eukaryota; Viridiplantae; Streptophyta; Magnoliopsida; Arecales; Arecaceae
Description: long non-coding RNA (EGUI_LNC078260)
Source: RNAcentral
UGUUAUGUGUUCAGAACAUAAUACCUUUAUGCGGAUAAUCGAUCACCAUAAUCUGAUCACUGUUGGGAGAGUAUGAUCAUCGCAAUACAGCCACACAGCAUGUCUGGCCUCUGUAGAUCGUCCACACAAAGCUCCCGAUCUGAUCGGCUCCUCACGAAUGCUAGUUCGUGACUGCACCUUUUUGAUGGUCGAUGUUGAUCGAACUCCUUAGAUCGAUAUCUGCCAACUCUUCGGAUACCCUGGAUCAUCAGCAAAGAUGGUAGAGAGGUGGAUGAUGCUCUUCCUAA